Molecule: long non-coding RNA, 3869 nt
Organism: Oreochromis aureus
Lineage: Eukaryota; Metazoa; Chordata; Actinopteri; Cichliformes; Cichlidae
Exons: 2
Source: RefSeq, a predicted model, not a curated record
UUCUUCCGUUAGCUCGUAGUAGCGGAGCGAAAAUGGCGUAGAACGUAGGGUGUUCGGGAGAACGGGACAACAGGACCUUCUUCUCUCCUCGUUUGCGGUAACCGGGGAAAGAAGAGGGUCCAGAACUUUAUUUCUUCGCCGCUGCGGUUUCUCUCAGUAAGAUAAAUCAGACAGUCGUUCGUUUGGGAGUCCUAAAUGUGUCGCCGUAGCGGAAGAAACCCCCUCUCCUCCCCACGGCUUUUGUUUACCAUUGUGUGCAACUGCAGCUCAGACCACAGAGGAAAUAUCUCUGCAUCCUUUCGGUCCAACUCGCACCAAGGAAUAAACCGUCAUUUAAUGGAGUCAUGAAACCUCGGCAAGUGAUAUUGCUUUUCAAAUUAAACCCAGCACCACCAACAUGUCACAUCCGCCACCACCAAGACAUUUGGAGGUAAACGGCCACUAUCAAGAUGACCUCAUUUGGGCAUGUGGGACACCGGUGCCCUCCUUCCUGCUGGGACAUUAGCCACCUCUCCUCCAAAGCAUCCCACGGAUCAUCAGUGCACACCAUGUGCCAAAAUUUUGGGCGGUCGGACUUGCAUAAUGCACACUCUGCUUAUGUCUACAUGUAGCCUAGCAUUAUUUUGUCUGCCAUAAAGUCCUUUAGAAAUACGUGUGAGAUUCUCGUCAGGCUGCAUGUAAACAUAGUCUCUACUUCCCAAAUAGUAAGAAAGGAAAAACCUACUUUCACCACAGUUACACAAAACAGUUUGAUAAAGAACAAAGUACCUGCUCCCAAUUUUCUGGGAAACAUAGCAAAAGACACAAGAUACUGUAGCAAAGAUCAAGGCCUGUGAUUUUCAUUAGACUCAUUGGGUGUGUUAAUGUUUAGUUUUUUUGCUCUACCUCAUUGCCAUGGGAAGUCCAACAGGAUGGACGAGGAGAGUGGUGAAUUAGCUAAAAGGCUGUCAAGUGCCACAGAAAGUUGUAUAAUGUUGGAUGAUUAGUUUUGUUUCUGGGGGUCAAAAAGUGAGGUUGGGUGUAAAUGGGAGAAGACUGAGCAGCACACAAGCACACGAUGCACACUGUCACUCAUUUUGGGUACAAAAAAAAAACACUGAACCACUCAAACUGUGGUCUCCUAUGCAUCUGUUUUGCAUUGUAUUGUGCUCUCCUUUGUCAGGUUGGCAGGUGUUUCUUUACAUAUAGCACAUAGAGAUAAAAUUGGGAAGUUUUCCUUUUAAUGUUGAGUCCUUUAGAUAGAAAUCUGGCAACUUGUAUUAUUUCAAAUUUGUCUCCUGAAGCAUUCUGAUUCAGUUUUCCUUCGUCUGGUCUCUUUCACUUUAACAUGUUUUUAUUUAGUUUUUUCCCAUGUAAAUUGCUGGGAUUGUUUUUCCCUCCUGCAUGUAGGACGUGUAUAAUGGGACGUUCAGGUUGAGAUAGAUUUUCAGUUUUGGUUUCUUUUAAGGAAUUGUGAGAAGACACAAUUAGAUCAAAAGUAUCUGCUUUAUCAAAUAUGCUUUAUCUCACCCAAAAGAAACCUGGUCUCAUUUUUCUUUUUCUUUAUUUUUUUUAUUUUAACAGAAGUAUAAUGCAGUCACUUGAGGAAGAAAAUGCCAGUUUCCCCCUGAAUUACGCAGGUAAUUAUCUCAGAUUUCAGAGAAAUCCAUUUCAUUUACAAAAGAAAAUGCUUUUUUUAGGAUUAGUGAAAUUACUGAAAAUCCUAGAAGAAGCUUUACAUUUAAUUUAGCGAUCCACCUAAUGGAAUCAAACAAAGUCAUGCUUGUUUAUUUUAAUCUGUAGUUUUUUCUUUAGGUAGACAGCUCUUGGUCUGUCGAACAUUAUGGUGUUUCUUUAGGACUAGCCGUACAAAGAAAUUCUUCGCAACUCAGUUGAUGUAUGAUGCAUCUAAACUGCAUUCAGACACGUAUUUGAAAGCAUAAACAAGUAGCAAAGAGUGAGGCUGGUCAGAGCUUCUCAUGAUAAUGUAAUCUAACAAAAUGCAUAAUUGUUGCUCAAGUGAAUGCAUGCUGCUUCUGUACAUUUUCAGUUUCUUUUGUUCACUUUUGUGAUUUUUACAAAGGAGAAAAAUCACAUUUUACCGGGAUUUGUGCAAUAUUUGAUCCUAACUGUCAUGUUGUUGACCAAACUGUAUAUUGUAUAAACAAGUGACAAGUUGUUUGAAAGCAACAAAAUCACCAAUGUCUUCCAUUAAGAUAUGUAUAGACUCAUGUGCAUUAGCUUAUUUAGCGGGACUGUGGUGCCAACAUUAUAGUAGCCGUGCAUGACCAGUAGUGAUGCUUGCUUCAUGAGGAAUAGUGAAAUCGAUUUUUAGGCUAAGCUGGAGCGCCAAACUUUGGAAACCAUUUCAGUGAAGUUGAAGGGUGGUAGACUUCGGUACAUUUAAAUACACUGCAUAAAGACACAGCUUUACUCUAAACUCUACUGCAAAAUCUCAUUUUCAUCACAUGACUAGUUUGUGCAAUCGAAAUACAACUAAUCUAAGGCACAAUCAGGGUAAGUUAAGUAUUUAUCAAGUCAUUUACUAUAGCAUAUAUACUUAAAAUAAGUAACUUUUUUAUUUAUGCACUAUAAGGCAUUAAAAGAAUUAGUUAAUAUGCAAAAGCCAAAAAUCUCCCAAGUCUCACGUGUGACAGUGAUGAAGAAAUGUUCUAUUAGGAAUGAGUUUCAAUUUAAUCCUAGACUUGGAUCUGAUUGGUAAGGAUCCGACAUUGACUUUUAAUCCUAGAAUAAUGAUCUCACAGUGACAUCACAUUGUACAUAUUACCUCAUAGUUAUGGGAUUCAAAGCGUUAUAUUUUAAUCCAUAAAAUUGUAUUUGAUUAGAGUUUUAGCAGCAAUAACCUACAAUAAUGCAUGAGUUUAGUGCCCGGGUGAAAAUGUUUAAAGGUUUCUGUAGCAUCACGUGGAAAGGGUUAUCUCCACCCAUUUUUAUUUUAUUUGCUCACGCAGUCAAUUAGACACUUCUUUCUUUAGGGAGUUAGGGAUUUAUCACUGAAAGCUUAGGAUAUUUUCUGCAGAACAAAGUGUAUUCUAGAGCAGCUGUAGCAUCAUGUUAUUACAUUAGUACACGAGAGAUGCUUUAAACUUCAAUCGUAGCAUUUUUACAUCCAUUCAAAGCCCACUUGUUAUUUAGAAAUAAACAAUGAAGUAGAUCUGUGGCUGCAAAGGACUCACUGAGCGAACUUGACACUUGUUUGAAAAGCACUUUCUCUAUGUACUGACUUGCACCGUCAUCAUCUCCACCUUGUCUUGGAUACUCUGUUCUAACAACCCUGUAAUGCUCUUUCUUGGAAUUUGUAAUCAACAAUUUAUAAGCAAGUAGACAUCUAGCAACAUUAAUAUAUGGGUUUAAAAAAUAUGCAUGUCUUAGCAGAAUAAUGAAUGAUUUGUAUUGCAUGCAAUAAUCCAACUUUGUAAUGUGAACGAGUGUAAUUAGGAAAUUGAAAUGUUCAUUUUGGAUGUUCUGUGAGGACUUGUUUGACACAACGGCGAGCACGUUGAAAAAGCUUCAGCAGUUUUACAGACUACCUGCUAGUUUGUUACAGUAAAGAACAGAGUAGCUCUCCAUUGUGUCAAAUAUGACCUGACAGUGUAGCCACAGUGCAGCUGAAAAACAAAUCAACCUUUGUUCCCAUUAAAAAAGGAAAAAAAUGUAUCAAGAGCUUAGGUAAGAUUAACGACAUCACUUUGUUGAUCAACUUUUCCACACAGGACGUGGACUGUGUAGAAACUAUGCACUCCAGAGGGAGGAAAUGGGCAUGCUUGUUAUGUGUGAGCCUCUUGUCUGGUUUUGUAUUAACUUAAAAAAAAAAAAAAAGAAUCUGUAUCAGAAGUUCAGCAAUAAAAUGCAGCAUGGUGCCAAUUAAA